This 601-nucleotide ribosomal RNA is filed under the name uncultured bacterium. Its description in RNAcentral is "bacterial SSU rRNA". It matches the Rfam family "Bacterial small subunit ribosomal RNA", at positions 735 to 1342 of the family's 1533-position model. The record is from RNAcentral.
UACUACUGACGCUGAGGCUCGAAAGUGCGGGAAUCAAACAGGAUUAGAUACCCUGGUAGUCCGCACCGUAAACGAUGGACACUCGUGGUUGGCCCCUGGUGGUCAGUCACCCAGCGAAAGCGUUAAGUGUCCCACCUGGGGAGUACGCCGGCAACGGUGAAACUCAAAGGAAUUGACGGGGGCCCGCACAAGCGGAGGAACAUGUGGUUUAAUUCGAUGAUACGCGAGGAACCUUACCCGGGCUUGAAUUGCAUGGGGCGUGGUCAGAGACGGCCAUUUCUUCGGACCCAUGUGAAGGUGCUGCAUGGUUGUCGUCAGCUCGUGCCGUGAGGUGUCGGCUUAAGUGCCAUAACGAGCGCAACCCUUCUCUUCGGUUGCCAUCGGGUAAUGCCGGGCACUCCGGAGACACUGCCAUCGCAAGAUGUGAGGAAGGUGGGGAUGACGUCAAAUCAGCACGGCCCUUACGUCCGGGGCUACACACGUGUUACAAUGGGAGGUACAGAAGGCCGCUACCUGGUGACAGGAUGCCAAUCCCGAAAGCCUCUCCCAGUUCGGAUCGGAGUCUGCAACCCGACUCCGUGAAGCUGGAUUCGCUAGUAAU